RNAcentral lists this ribosomal RNA (518 nucleotides) under uncultured bacterium. Its description in RNAcentral is "bacterial SSU rRNA". It matches the Rfam family "Bacterial small subunit ribosomal RNA", at positions 390 to 896 of the family's 1533-position model. The record is from RNAcentral.
CGCAACGCCGCGUGGGGGAUGAAGGUUCUCGGACUUGUAAACCCCUUUCGACCGGAACGAAUCUCCUCUUGGUGAACAAUCGAGGAGGAUCGACGGUACCGGGAGAAGAAGCCACGGCUAACUCUGUGCCAGCAGCCGCGGUAAGACAGAGGUGGCGAGCGUUGUUCGGAUUUAUUGGGCGUAAAGCGUACGCAGGCGGUUUGGUAAGUCAGAGGUGAAAGACCACAGCUUAACUGUGGCACUGCCUUUGAUACUGCCUUUCUAGAGUGCAUGAGGGGGAAGCGGAAUUCCGAGUGUAGAGGUGAAAUUCGUAGAUAUUCGGAGGAACACCGGUGGCGAAGGCGGCUUCCUGGCAUGUAACUGACGCUCAUGUACGAAAGCGUGGGUAGCAAACAGGAUUAGAUACCCUGGCAGUCCACGCCCUAAACGAUGGGCACUAGGUGUGGGAGGUAUCGACCCCUUCCGUGCCGCAGCUAACGCAUUAAGUGCCCCGCCUGGGGAGUACGGCCGCAAGGUUG